GCUCAUCACAUCCUGGGGCUGAAGUAGGUCCCAAGGGUAUGGCUGUUCGCCAUUUAAAGUGGUACGCGAGCUGGGUUUAGAACGUCGUGAGACAGUUCGGUCCCUAUCUGCCGUGGGCGCUGGAGAAUUGAGGGGGGCUGCUCCUAGUACGAGAGGACCGGAGUGGACGCAUCACUGGUGUUCGGGUUGUCAUGCCAAUGGCACUGCCCGGUAGCUAAAUGCGGAAGAGAUAAGUGCUGAAAGCAUCUAAGCACGAAACUUGCCCCGAGAUGAGUUCUCCCUGACUCCUUGAGAGUCCUGAAGGAACGUUGAAGACGACGACGUUGAUAGGCCGGGUGUGUAAGCGCAGCGAUGCGUUGAGCUAACCGGUACUAAUGAACCGUGAGGCUUAACCUUACAACGCCGAAG
RNAcentral lists this ribosomal RNA (408 nucleotides) under Escherichia coli. Its description in RNAcentral is "partial 23S ribosomal RNA". It matches the Rfam family "Bacterial large subunit ribosomal RNA", at positions 2535 to 2925 of the family's 2925-position model. The record is from RNAcentral. Lineage: Bacteria; Pseudomonadati; Pseudomonadota; Gammaproteobacteria; Enterobacterales; Enterobacteriaceae.